RNAcentral lists this small nucleolar RNA (133 nucleotides) under Castor canadensis (American beaver). RNAcentral's name for it is "Small nucleolar RNA SNORA3/SNORA45 family (ENSCCNG00000005305.1)". It matches the Rfam family "Small nucleolar RNA SNORA3/SNORA45 family". From Rfam's summary of the family: The members of this family belong to the H/ACA class of snoRNAs which are thought to guide the sites of modification of uridines to pseudouridines. This family includes mouse snoMBI-28 and human homologues ACA3 (SNORA3) and ACA3-2 (SNORA45). Both ACA3 and ACA3-2 share the same host gene. Lineage: Eukaryota; Metazoa; Chordata; Mammalia; Rodentia; Castoridae. The record is from Rfam by way of RNAcentral.
GCCAAGAUUAGAGUCACAUCCUGAUACAGCACUUGUCCUGGUGUGCUGGAGUUCGCAGAGAGAAUUUGGUGGUCUUGAUUUACAGGUAAAGGAAGAGUCCGUGCCCCUGUUAGUGAUCAGAUAAAAAACAUGC